GAUGAACGCUAGCUACAGGCUUAACACAUGCAAGUCGAGGGGAAACGGCAUCGAAAGCUUGCUUUUGAUGGGCGUCGACCGGCGCACGGGUGAGUAACGCGUAUCCAACCUGCCCAUCACUUGGGAAUAACCUUGCGAAAGUAAGACUAAUGCCCAAUGACAUCCCACGAAGGCAUCCGAAUGGGAUUAAAGAUUUAUCGGUGAUGGAUGGGGAUGCGUCUGAUUAGCUUGUUGGCGGGGUGACGGCCCACCAAGGCAACGAUCAGUAGGGGUUCUGAGAGGAAGGUCCCCCACAUUGGAACUGAGACACGGUCCAAACUCCUACGGGAGGCAGCAGUGAGGAAUAUUGGUCAAUGGGCGAGAGCCUGAACCAGCCAAGUAGCGUGCAGGAUGACGGCCCUAUGGGUUGUAAACUGCUUUUAUAGGGAAUAAAGUGGGUCACGUGUGACUUUUUGCAUGUACCUUAUGAAUAAGGACCGGCUAAUUCCGUG
RNAcentral lists this ribosomal RNA (491 nucleotides) under uncultured bacterium. RNAcentral describes it as "partial 16S ribosomal RNA". It matches the Rfam family "Bacterial small subunit ribosomal RNA", at positions 28 to 507 of the family's 1533-position model. The record is from RNAcentral.